This 71-nucleotide transfer RNA is filed under the name Pristionchus pacificus. It matches the Rfam family "tRNA". Rfam says of the family: Transfer RNA (tRNA) molecules are approximately 80 nucleotides in length. Their secondary structure includes four short double-helical elements and three loops (D, anti-codon, and T loops). Lineage: Eukaryota; Metazoa; Nematoda; Chromadorea; Rhabditida; Neodiplogasteridae. The record is from Rfam by way of RNAcentral.
UCAGGUGCAGUUCAGUGGUAGAACUCCUGCCCGGUAAGCGGAAGGCCCGGGUUCGAUUCCCGGUUCCCGGU